This 466-nucleotide ribosomal RNA is filed under the name uncultured bacterium. RNAcentral's name for it is "partial 16S ribosomal RNA". It matches the Rfam family "Bacterial small subunit ribosomal RNA", at positions 28 to 507 of the family's 1533-position model. The record is from RNAcentral.
GAUGAACGCUGGCGGCGUGCUUAACACAUGCAAGUCGAACGAUGAAGCCCAGCUUGCUGGGCGGAUUAGUGGCGAACGGGUGAGUAACACGUGAGUAACCUGCCCUUGACUCUGGGAUAAGCGCUGGAAACGGCGUCUAAUACCGGAUACGAGCUUCCACCGCAUGGUGAGUUGCUGGAAAGAAUUUCGGUCAAGGAUGGACUCGCGGCCUAUCAGGUAGUUGGUGAGGUAACGGCUCACCAAGCCGACGACGGGUAGCCGGCCUGAGAGGGUGACCGGCCACACUGGGACUGAGACACGGCCCAGACUCCUACGGGAGGCAGCAGUGGGGAAUAUUGCACAAUGGGCGCAAGCCUGAUGCAGCAACGCCGCGUGAGGGACGAAGGCCUUCGGGUCGUAAACCUCUUUUAGCAGGGAAGAAGCGAAAGUGACGGUACCUGCAGAAAAAGCACCGGCUAACUACGUG